UAUAAAUCAAACAACGGGCGCUCGCCCUGAGGCACCGGAAGUGUGCUGGGCGGGGGCGCAUGCGCAGUGAGCCAGCACACGGCCCCAGUCACGUGGUAGGUGCGGCCGGCCCGGGCCAAGGGCAGCGCAUGCGCAAUGACUUCAAUGACUGCGGUGCCGCCUGCUGGUCAAAGGGCGAGGCUGCAGCGACGGGACCUGCGCAUGCGCCGUGCCCGGGGAGCGGGGAACAAUUAACGGGGAACAAUUAGCGGGGAAUGGGGAACGGGAAAUGGGGAGCGGGGAACGGGCCGGCCCGGGGGAGCCCCGCAGGGGAUGGGCCGGGCCGGCGGCACCGAGGGGGAAGGAGCGGCCGCGCCCGUUCCCGGGGCACCCGCCUCUCACGGAGGGGUAAAAUGAACAUUUUGAGGUAAACCCGAGGAAAUUAGUGAGGGACAUUCAGGGGGAAAAUCGAGGUUCCUUGAGCGGGACAGGAAGGGACAGUUCUGGGGUAAAACCUGAGGUGGUCGCGGGAGGUUUAGGGGUCCAACCCGAGUCCCUGUGCCGGGAUCGGAAGGAACGUCUCUGAGGGAAAAGCAGAGGCAAACUGGGAGGGGGAGCAGAGGCGACAUCUUCCACCUGAAAAUGCUGAGGUAAUUUGGAUGAAAUAAAAUCGCCGUUUUUGUGGGGUCAAUCCAGGGGUACCUUAGAGAGGAAAAAGGAGCCUUUGUGAGAGAAAGGCUGGGAAUUCAGACCAGACCGAGGCAGCAUUUUGGACAGAAAACCUGAGGUUAUUUAGCAGGGACAGAAGUGACCCUUUUAGCCGAAAACCUGGGGUAAUUUAGAGGGGCCACAACCACUGUUUUCUGUAGGAAAGUGGGAGGUGAUGCAGAGGGGAGAGAGGUGGUGUUUGGAGGUAAUGGCUGAGACUGACCGCCAGCUGCAGACUGAGCCUGGGGCCUGAAUCCUCUCCAGUCGGCAGGGGCUGUUCCCAAAUGCCAUGCCCUGCUCACAACUUGGUUGUUUCCAGGUGCUCGGAGAGUGAUUCCCCAGGAAGAAGGGGAGCCUUGGCCUCACCUGCCUGGCUCAGUUGGAUGGGACAGAACUGGGGCGGCCUGGCAAGGCAUGAACAGGUUUCUGAGUUCUGGAGUGCCUUGAAACCUUUCUGUGUUCCAGGUCAGUUGCUGCUUGUGAGCCUGAGCCUUGGUUUGGGGGUUCAGGAGCCCGGGGGGCCGAGCUGGGGGGUGUUUGCAGCUCUGCCAGGGCUGGAGCUGACACAGCACUGGGGGAGAGCCUGGAGCUGGGCUGGGCUGUGGGACAGAUGCGGGGGAGCUGGGGGAGGGUUUGGGGCUGCUGGGAGUGUAACAGAUAACAUACAAACGCCAGAAAUUAUGUUUCGCCAUUGUUUCUGCCUGUCAGAAAACUCCCUACCAAAAAUUCUGUGUCAGUUUUCCAACACAAGUCCUCACCAGAAUUUUCCCACUGGAGUUUUCCUGCCAAAGGAUCCUGUUAUUGUUCAUGGUUAUCAUAUCUGCGAACAUCUGGAUAGGGCUACGUGCCAAGAAACCACACACAACCUCCUUUGAACACUAUAAAAGUGGAGGAGAAAUUUGGGAAAAGCAGGGAAAGAGGAGUGGGAGAGAGAGCUGGCUAUAGCAGCUGAGAGUCUCUGCCCCACGUCGCCCUCACCUUUUCUUCUGCCACCGUGAGCUGCCCGCCCCUCAGCAGAGACCAGACCUCUGCCGUCCUGAACUGGACUGAGCCCCCCCGAGCCACCCGCGGGAGUUCCCCGCCCUGACCACAUCGGUGAGGGCCGAGAGCUGGGGCUGGAGCGGGACCUCUGCGCGGGCUGGGAGCGGCAGGGACACAGACCAGGCCCAGCACUGCUGCUCUCUCUGUGCCCCAGCCCACAGAGCAGCUCGGCGCAAGGGAGCUUUGCUGCUAGCUUUUCUCUGCUUCUAAAAGCAAUCGCAGCAUUUCCCAACCUUUUCUGAUUUUUUCCUCUUUGCAUCUCUUAGCAAUUAAUAAAAAGAGUUUUGGUAUCA
This 2021-nucleotide long non-coding RNA is filed under the name Manacus vitellinus (golden-collared manakin). RNAcentral describes it as "lncRNA (ENSMVIG00005002468.1)". The record is from RNAcentral. Lineage: Eukaryota; Metazoa; Chordata; Aves; Passeriformes; Pipridae.